Molecule: non-coding RNA, 2459 nt
Organism: Misgurnus anguillicaudatus (oriental weatherfish)
Lineage: Eukaryota; Metazoa; Chordata; Actinopteri; Cypriniformes; Cobitidae
Source: RefSeq, a predicted model, not a curated record
GGUCUGUCUGCGGACCGCAAGAGAGGGGCGUGCCGUUAAGGGGCGUAACUUUUAGCAGGGGGCGUAACUUUAAGUUGUCCAAGUUACACAGAACCACGCGAGACGUCAGGACGAGAUGUUGUUAUUCUGUCUUCUCUUCUGCCCGCAUAGAGAUACGGCGGCUAAAGGCGUUAUUAAAGUUGCUCAUCCAAGCGCCCUCAUGUUUGUUCGUACUAAUUUUAAUGGACGGGAAGCCGACUGACAAACAUCCUUUUCCCGAGAAAUGGUUCGGCUACUACGACACAUGUUGAGAAGUCACGCCAGGGGCUGAAUUAAGGUCGACCGUUUCAGCUGCAUUGAUGUGAAGUGAUGCAGUGGACAACUUGUGAGGGUGAUACCAUCCACAUGCACCUUAACUGUGAUGCAGAAAUACAAUACACUCUUAAAAUGAAUGUGUUAAAUUAACACAUCUUGUGUCUAGUUAAGGACAACACAUCUAGUGUGUUGUCCUUAAUUUAACACAUCUCUGUGUUAUUUUUGGAACAACACACUGUGUUGUUUUAACACAUCUUGUGUUGUCCCUUUUAUUUUUUAUGAACUUAAAUGACACUUAUGGGCGGUUUCGCGGACAGGGAUUAGACUAGUCCUAGACUUAAACACUUUUAAGAGCUCUCCAAACUGAAAACAACUUGCACUUACAUAUCUUCAAAUACAUCAGGGCCCUUUGUUUUACCUCAAAAUGCACACAUGUAAUGUUUUUAGUAAGGCAUGUUUGUUAAAACUACUUAUAUUUCCUAAUUAAACUAAGAUCUAGUCCUGGAUUAAGCUAAUCCUGGUCCGGGAAACUGCCCCUUAAUGUGUUAAAAACAACACAUAAUGUGUUAAAUAGUUUAACACAAAGCAAUGUGUUAAAAUUAACACAUCCAGGGUGUGUUAAUUUUAACACAUUGCUUUUUGUUAAACUAUUUAACACAUUAUGUGUUAAUUUUAACUUAUUAUGUGUCAUUUCGUGCUGAUUUAGAGUUCAUAUAAAUAAAAGGGACAACACAAGAUGUGUUAAAACAACACAAAGUGUGUUGUUCUAAAAAUAACACAGAGAUGUGUUAAUUUAAGGACAACACACUAGGUGUGUUGUCCUUAACUAGACACAAGAUGUGUUAAUUUAACACAUUAGUUUUAAGAGUGUAGGAUGAUCCAUCUGUCUACACUUCAAAAUCACAACUCAACCUUAAACAUCCCAUAUCUGUUAUGGUAAAACAAUGUGGCGGUUUUCCAGACAGGGCUUAUACUGUUCCCGGGCUAAAAUGCAUGUUUGAGCUACUGUAAUUAAGAAAACACCUUGUACUGACACAUCUCAACAUAUAUCAUUGCCAUUGUUUUGUUUCAAGAUGCACACCAGUCUUGUUUUGUAAGGUUUGUUUGUAAAAACUAAAAUGUCCUAAUAUAAGUGCCCAGUCCUGGUUUAAUCUAAACCAUUGGUGACCACACCUGUGUCUUGAGAUCUACUGUCCUGCAGAGUUCAGCUCCAACCCCAAUCAAACACAUCUGAACCUGCCAAUCAAGCAUUUCAGGGCAACCUUAAAAUUAUAGUCAGGUGUGUUUAAAGCUGGGUUAGAACUAAAAUAUGCAGGAGGGUAGAUCUCCAGGAACAGGGUUGGUCACCCCUGAUCUAAACAAAGGGUUUCCAAACUGUGUCCUGCAAAGUUUAGCUCUAACCCUAAUCAAACACACCUGAAGCAGCCAAUUAAGGUCUUAUUAAGCAUACUAGAAACUUACUGGCAGGUGCUCUGAUGCAAGUAAGAGCUAAACUCUGCAGGACACCGGUCCUCCAGGACUGAGUUUGGGUACCCCUGACUAAGCCCUGCCUGGGAAACUGCACCAAUGUGUUGAGCUGGCACCAUUGGACAUUACUGCUGCUGAGAAACAACCACAUUCUCAGCUCUACACAGGGUUGACAUUGGAUGCAUUAUUAUUAUAAAAUGCAUUCAUGUGCACUUUACCAAUACUGUACAUACAUCAACAGCUUCCAGCUAUACACUUGGGAUCAGCUCCUGAUGCCUCUCAUAAUGCUGUGUUAUAAUUUAUUGCAGGGUGAUCUUGCUGAAAGGAUAUUUUUAUAAACCUUUACAAUGUCACCAGAUGUUACAUGUUGUGGAUAGUUAUUUUUAUAAACCUUUACAAUGUCACCAGAUGUUACCUGUUGUGAAUAAUUAUUUUAUAAACCUUUACAAUCUCACCAGUUGUUACAUGUUGUGGAUAGUUAUUUUUAUAAACCUUUACAAUGUCACCAGAUGUUACAUGUUGUGAAUGGUUAUUUUUAUAAACCUUUACAAUGUCACCAGAUGUUACCUGUUGUGAAAAGUUAUUUUUAUAAACCGUUACAAUGUCACCAGAUGUUACCUGUUGUGAAUAGUUAUUUUUAUACACCUUUACAAUGUUACCUGUUGUGAAUAGUUAUUUUUAUAAACCUUUACAAUAUC